Non-coding RNA from Salmo salar (Atlantic salmon), 2222 nucleotides. Lineage: Eukaryota; Metazoa; Chordata; Actinopteri; Salmoniformes; Salmonidae. The record is from RefSeq and is a predicted model, not a curated record.
AUGGUUUCACUGAUCGAGCAUCUGCAGAAACUUAGUCUGGACGGCAACGCUCACCAAAGGGCCCUCAACGUGUUUCUGCUGGACCCCAACAACCUAGGAAUUUGCUGGCCUACAGAUGGAUUGAUGCCUGAGAGUGGUUAUUGGCAGCUCUGCCCUCCCUCCAAGCCUGGCCUGCAGGGUGUGCUGAGCUCCAGCUUCCCCCCCCUGCCCUGUCCCUCUGGUUCCCCCCAAAACUCAUCUGGCAGAGGGGGAAGCCCUGCACCGGCCCCUGGUCCCAAGCACCUCAGUGACAGACCUGUCUUUUCCAGGUGCACCCCCUCCCCCCCCCGCCACCCCCCAAACGCCACUGUCGUUCACUGUCCGUGCCAGAGGACCUUUCACGCUGCCGUUACACCUGGCGGCCCAGUGCUUCGAGGGUCUGGACACCUGUGAAUCGUCAAUGCCACAGUGGAGGGGUAGCCGGGGGGCCUUGUCCGCUUCGUGCUCCUAGCUCAUCUCUAAACUCUUCACUACACUCUUCUUCAAGCCCCACAUUCUUUAGCAUUGCUCUCUCCCCUGACUCCCCACUGCCCUGGAAUUUCCCAUGGGACCCCAGUGACACUGCUGGAGGAGGCGCCUGCUGCUGUUUCUUCCACUCCCCAUCAUCAUGCUCCUCUCCGUCCCCGCUCCACCCUCCCCUUCCUCCACAGCGACGCUUCUCUCUGUCACCUGUCCUUAUCAGAGAGGCUGCCGUCCAGUUCCUGCCCCCGCCUCCAGUUCCACCCCAUUGUGCAGCACCCCCUCCGGCUGUGCCUGCUUUGCCCUCCUCUGCCUGCAGCACCCCGUCCUCUCUUCGCCGGGCCAUCCCCCCUCAGCUCCCUCGCUGCCACUCACAGCCCUGUGACCUGCUCCUUCUCAAACCGGGACUGAAGCGACGCCGUGACCCAGACAGACCAUUUGCCCGGCCAGUACUGGAUUUCACCAAGAUGACUCAGACUCGCAGUACAGACCCCUUGAGUGGUAUGGAGCGUGGGAGGCUGGCUUGUGGAGGGGACGUUUGCAUGGGCUUUGAGCCUUUUUUGGGGGACUUCAGAGGGUCGUGUUCACCAGAGGGGCUGGGAAGGACAAGCAUUGGUCCUCUAAGCGAGAGUGACGAGGAGGGGGAGGAGGGGGAGGAAGACCCUGAUCGAGAGGAGUGUCAGCCGAGUAUCUUUGAGAGGGAUUGUACAGAACUAGAUUUGAGCCUAAUUGAAGAAAAUUAAAAUGUUUUUAAUUGGAGACUGUUUUCCCCUUUACCGCCAGCAUUCAACACUCCACUCCCAGCCCUGCUAUACUUCAUCGGCAGGGCUCUCAGGAACAUGACUUCUCUCUCAUGGGAAGAGCUGGGGUAUAUAUAAUCUCAUUAACAAUGGUCAUGAUUUGACUACUACCAAUAAUAACAAUUAAUUCAGGUAGCCAUGGAUGCUGUCCUUCCAUCAGAGUACAUUCCAGAACCAGUUGCUGAAACAUUGUGAAUAAUCUGAAUGCUGGAGAUGCCAGCUAUUCCCAUAGUGUCUGUUGGAUGUUUUCUUAAUGCGCCCUCAGACUGAUGGAAUUUUGGAAGACUAACAAGCUUCUGGUCACUUGCUUUCUUUUACAUGACUUUUCUUUUAAUUGUGUUUUUUUUGGUGCAGUAGUAAGAAUAGACUUGAAUGAUGAUGGUGGUGAAUUGAAUAUCUGUGUUUUGUUCAGUUUGAUGCAAAAGGGCAGUAUGUCAUUGCAGUUUUAUUUCUGCCGUCCUGUUAUUUUCUGUUAAACAAUCCAUAUGAUUCAGCAUAAGCCUUAAGACACCAUCUUUUUUUCUGUAAACAAAAAUACAACUAUGAAAAGGAAAUGAAUUGUGUAGCUGUUGCUAUUAGUCCUUUUAAUUGUUUCUUUUCUGCUGUUUAAAAAAAAAUAUUAUCUAUAUGACUCAUCUUCUGAAAAUAGAGAUGUAUAGACAUUGAUAAUGAAUGCACUGUUUGACAAGUUAACCUAAAAAUGGAAGCAACCACUGUAUUCUGAGGGCACAUUGUAAUAUUGUAUUAUACAGCGUUCAUUUGUUGAAAACAAGUUGUGUAAAGAUGGUAGCUGGGAGACCUGGGGCAGGCCAUUGCUGUCUUUUAGACAUUUAUUUUUAUUGUAUGUGUUAAAAAAAAAAGAUGGCAAUUUCAAACUCAGUUUGUGAAUAAAUAAAGUUUAUUGGAAAUUAUUUUACAAGGAAA